AUUGAACGCUGGCGGCAUGCCUUACACAUGCAAGUCGAACGGCAGCACGGGAGCAAUCCUGGUGGCGAGUGGCGAACGGGUGAGUAAAGUAUCGGAACGUGCCCAGUCGUGGGGGAUAACGUAGCGAAAGUCACGCUAAUACCGCAUACGAUCUAUGGAUGAAAGCGGGGGAUCGCAAGACGUCGCGCGAUUGGAGCGGCCGAUAUCAGAUUAGGUAGUUGGCGGGGUAAAGGCUCACCAAGCCGACGAUCUGUAGCUGGUCUGAGAGGACGACCAGCCACACUGGGACUGAUACACGGCCCAGACUCCUACGGGAGGCAGCAGUGGGGAAUUUUGGACAAUGGGCGAAAGCCUGAUCCAGCCAUGCCGCGUGCAGGAUGAAGGCCUUCGGGUUGUAAACUUCUUUUGUACGGAACGAAAAGGUUUGGCCUAAUAAGCUGAGCUCAUGACGGUACCGUAAGAAUAAGCACCGGCUAACUACGUGCCAGCCGCCGCCGUAA
This 500-nucleotide ribosomal RNA is filed under the name uncultured bacterium. RNAcentral describes it as "partial 16S ribosomal RNA". It matches the Rfam family "Bacterial small subunit ribosomal RNA", at positions 30 to 523 of the family's 1533-position model. The record is from RNAcentral.